This 274-nucleotide ribosomal RNA is filed under the name uncultured bacterium. RNAcentral's name for it is "partial 16S ribosomal RNA". It matches the Rfam family "Bacterial small subunit ribosomal RNA", at positions 523 to 796 of the family's 1533-position model. The record is from RNAcentral.
AUACGGAGGGUGCGAGCGUUAAUCGGAAUUACUGGGCGUAAAGCGUACGUAGGCGGUUGGUUAAGUUAGAUGUGAAAGCCCCGGGCUUAACCUGGGAACUGCAUUUAAAACUGGCGAACUAGAGUUGAGUAGAGGGGAGUGGAAUUUCAGGUGUAGCGGUGAAAUGCGUAGAGAUCUGGAGGAACACCAGUGGCGAAGGCGACUCCCUGGACUCGAACUGACGCUGAGGUACGAAAGCGUGGGUAGCAAACGGGAUUAGAAACCCUAGUAGUCC